CUACGGGGUGCUCAGUGGGGAAUAUUGCACAAUGGGCGCAAGCCUGAUGCAGCCAUGCCGCGUGUAUGAAGAAGGCCUUCGGGUUGUAAAGUACUUUCAGCGGGGAGGAAGGGAGUAAAGUUAAUACCUUUGCUCAUUGACGUUACCCGCAGAAGAAGCACCGGCUAACUCCGUGCCAGCAGCCGCGGUAAUACGGAGGGUGCAAGCGUUAAUCGGAAUUACUGGGCGUAAAGCGCACGCAGGCGGUUUGUUAAGUCAGAUGUGAAAUCCCCGGGCUCAACCUGGGAACUGCAUCUGAUACUGGCAAGCUAGAGUCUCGUAGAGGGGGGUAGAAUUCCAGGUGUAGCGGUGAAAUGCGUAGAGAUCUGGAAGAAUACCGGUGGCGAAGGCGGCCCCCUGGACGAAGACUGACGCUCAGGUGCGAAAGCGUGGGGAGCAAACAGGAUUAGAUACCCCUGUAGUC
RNAcentral lists this ribosomal RNA (463 nucleotides) under uncultured bacterium. Its description in RNAcentral is "partial 16S ribosomal RNA". It matches the Rfam family "Bacterial small subunit ribosomal RNA", at positions 339 to 795 of the family's 1533-position model. The record is from RNAcentral.